This 64-nucleotide transfer RNA is filed under the name Staphylinoidea sp. 8 KM-2017. RNAcentral describes it as "tRNA-Glu". Lineage: Eukaryota; Metazoa; Arthropoda; Insecta; Coleoptera. The record is from RNAcentral.
AUUUAUAUAGUUUAAUUAAAACUUUACACUUUCAUUGUAAAAAUAAAUUUUUAUUUUAUAAAUA